CACUAUCGUUAACUGAAUACAUAGGUUAACGAGGCGAACCGGGGGAACUGAAACAUCUAAGUACCCCGAGGAAAAGAAAUCAACCGAGAUUCCCCCAGUAGCGGCGAGCGAACGGGGAGCAGCCCAGAGUCUGAAUCAGCUUGUGUGUUAGUGGAACGGUCUGGAAAGUCCGACGGUACAGGGUGAUAGUCCCGUACACCAAAAUGCACAGGUUGUGAACUCGAAGAGUAGGGCGGGACACGUGGUAUCCUGUCUGAAUAUGGGGGGACCAUCCUCCAAGGCUAAAUACUCCUGACUGACCGAUAGUGAACCAGUACCGUGAGGGAAAGGCGAAAAGAACCCCGGCGAGGGGAGUGAAAAAGAACCUGAAACCGUGUACGUACAAGCAGUGGGAGCACCUUCGGGUGUGACUGCGUACCUUUUGUAUAAUGGGUCAGCGACUUAUAUUCUGUAGCAAGGUUAACCGUAUAGGGGAGCCGCAGGGAAACCGAGUCUUAACUGGGCGUUAAGUUGCAGGGUAUAGACCCGAAACCCGGUGAUCUAGCCAUGGGCAGGUUGAAGGUUGGGUAACACUAACUGGAGGACCGAACCGACUAAUGUUGAAAAAUUAGCGGAUGACUUGUGGCUGGGGGUGAAAGGCCAAUCAAACCGGGAGAUAGCUGGUUCUCCCCGAAAGCUAUUUAGGUAGCGCCUCGUGAAUUCAUCUUCGGGGGUAGAGCACUGUUUCGGCUAGGGGGUCAUCCCGACUUACCAACCCGAUGCAAACUACGAAUACCGAAGAAUGUUAUCACGGGAGACACACGGCGGGUGCUAACGUCCGUCGUGAAGAGGGAAACAACCCAGACCGCCAGCUAAGGUCCCAAAGUCAUGGUUAAGUGGGAAACGAUGUGGGAAGGCACAGACAGCCAGGAUGUUGGCUUAGAAGCAGCCAUCAUUUAAAGAAAGCGUAAUAGCUCACUGGUCGAGUCGGCCUGCGCGGAAGAUGUAACGGGGCUAAACCAUGCACCGAAGCUGCGGCAGCGACACUAUGUGUUGUUGGGUAGGGGAGCGUUCUGUAAGCCUGCGAAGGUGUGCUGUGAGGCAUGCUGGAGGUAUCAGAAGUGCGAAUGCUGACAUAAGUAACGAUAAAGCGGGUGAAAAGCCCGCUCGCCGGAAGACCAAGGGUUCCUGUCCAACGUUAAUCGGGGCAGGGUGAGUCGACCCCUAAGGCGAGGCCGAAAGGCGUAGUCGAUGGGAAACAGGUUAAUAUUCCUGUACUUGGUGUUACUGCGAAGGGGGGACGGAGAAGGCUAUGUUAGCCGGGCGACGGUUGUCCCGGUUUAAGCAUGUAGGCUGGUUGUCCAGGCAAAUCCGGAUAAUCAAGGCUGAGGUGUGAUGACGAGGCACUACGGUGCUGAAGUAACAAAUGCCCUGCUUCCAGGAAAAGCCUCUAAGCAUCAGGUAACAUUAAAUCGUACCCCAAACCGACACAGGUGGUCAGGUAGAGAAUACCAAGGCGCUUGAGAGAACUCGGGUGAAGGAACUAGGCAAAAUGGUGCCGUAACUUCGGGAGAAGGCACGCUGGUGUGUAGGUGAAGUCCCUGCGGAUGGAGCUGAGACCAGUCGAAGAUACCAGCUGGCUGCAACUGUUUAUUAAAAACACAGCACUGUGCAAACACGAAAGUGGACGUAUACGGUGUGACGCCUGCCCGGUGCCGGAAGGUUAAUUGAUGGGGUUAUCCGUAAGGAGAAGCUCUUGAUCGAAGCCCCGGUAAACGGCGGCCGUAACUAUAACGGUCCUAAGGUAGCGAAAUUCCUUGUCGGGUAAGUUCCGACCUGCACGAAUGGCGUAAUGAUGGCCAGGCUGUCUCCACCCGAGACUCAGUGAAAUUGAACUCGCUGUGAAGAUGCAGUGUACCCGCGGCAAGACGGAAAGACCCCGUGAACCUUUACUAUAGCUUGACACUGAACAUUGAGCCUUGAUGUGUAGGAUAGGUGGGAGGCUUUGAAGCGUGGACGCCAGUCUGCGUGGAGCCAACCUUGAAAUACCACCCUUUAAUGUUUGAUGUUCUAACGUUGGCCCCUGACCGGGGUUGCGGACAGUGUCUGGUGGGUAGUUUGACUGGGGCGGUCUCCUCCCAAAGCGUAACGGAGGAGCACGAAGGUUAGCUAAUCCUGGUCGGACAUCAGGAGGUUAGUGCAAUGGCAUAAGCUAGCUUGACUGCGAGCGUGACGGCGCGAGCAGGUGCGAAAGCAGGUCAUAGUGAUCCGGUGGUUCUGAAUGGAAGGGCCAUCGCUCAACGGAUAAAAGGUACUCCGGGGAUAACAGGCUGAUACCGCCCAAGAGUUCAUAUCGACGGCGGUGUUUGGCACCUCGAUGUCGGCUCAUCACAUCCUGGGGCUGAAGUAGGUCCCAAGGGUAUGGCUGUUCGCCAUUUAAAGUGGUACGCGAGCUGGGUUUAGAACGUCGUGAGACAGUUCGGUCCCUAUCUGCCGUGGGCGCUGGAGAAUUGAGGGGGGCUGCUCCUAGUACGAGAGGACCGGAGUGGACGCAUCACUGGUGUUCGGGUUGUCAUGCCAAUGGCACUGCCCGGUAGCUAAAUGCGGAAGAGAUAAGUGCUGAAAGCAUCUAAGCACGAAACUUGCCCCGAGAUGAGUUCUCCCUGAG
This 2647-nucleotide ribosomal RNA is filed under the name Klebsiella pneumoniae. Its description in RNAcentral is "bacterial LSU rRNA". It matches the Rfam family "Bacterial large subunit ribosomal RNA". The record is from RNAcentral. Lineage: Bacteria; Pseudomonadati; Pseudomonadota; Gammaproteobacteria; Enterobacterales; Enterobacteriaceae.